CAUUACCGAAACACCAGUUUCCAUAUGAUUGCCAAAGUUAAGCAAUGUCAAGCCUGGUCAGUACCUAGAUGGGUAACUGCUUGGGAAUGCCAGGUGCUGUAA
Acanthosepion pharaonis is the source of this 102-nucleotide non-coding RNA. Lineage: Eukaryota; Metazoa; Mollusca; Cephalopoda; Sepiida; Sepiidae. The record is from the annotation of a GenBank genome assembly.